Molecule: ribosomal RNA, 353 nt
Filed under: Lenax sp. CO897
Lineage: Eukaryota; Metazoa; Arthropoda; Insecta; Coleoptera; Monotomidae
Description: partial 12S ribosomal RNA
Source: RNAcentral
UUAAAAUGUAGUUGAAAAAAUUAAAUUAGUAAUAGAUAUGAUCUUGAAAAUAAAAAAAUUUGGCGGUAUUUUAGUCUAUUCAGAGGAACCUGUUUUAUAAUUGAUAUUCCACAGUUUAUAUUGCUUACUUUAAAAAUUUAUAUAUCAUUGUAGYAGGAAUAUUUUAGGAGGAUUUUAAUAUUCAAAAGUUAUWGUUAAUAGAAAAUAUCAGAUCAAGGUGUAGUUUAUAAGUGAGAAGUAAUGGGUUACAAUUAAUUUAUUAAAAUAGAUUUAUUUAUGAAAUUAAAUAAUGAAAGUGGAUUUGAAAGUAAUUAAAAUUAAAUUAUUAAGAUGAUUUUAGCUCUAAGAUAUGU